AGCAGCAUAAUUUAAUUAAGAAUAAUUAUUUUACAAGUAAUAAGUGGUUUAACCUGUUGUUA
This 62-nucleotide transfer RNA is filed under the name Aglaiogyrodactylus forficulatus. Its description in RNAcentral is "tRNA-Val". The record is from RNAcentral. Lineage: Eukaryota; Metazoa; Platyhelminthes; Monogenea; Gyrodactylidea; Oogyrodactylidae.